This is a long non-coding RNA of Mauremys reevesii (Reeves's turtle), 1066 nucleotides long. RefSeq lists it as uncharacterized. NCBI's taxonomy places the organism in Eukaryota, Metazoa, Chordata, Testudines, Geoemydidae. The transcript has 4 exons. The record is from RefSeq and is a predicted model, not a curated record.
AGUGUCUGUUGAUUUUUAAAAAAUUCAUUUUAGGAAGAUUUUUACAGGUGUAUUUAUGCUUUCCUGUUUAUGUUCAUGAGGCACUUUUCAGCAAGGGAAAAUCUGACUUAUCACCUGGCUAUGUAGAUGAAAGCAAUGCAGACUAGAGUGUUGCCAGCCCUCAUGGUUUAUUUCUUUGGAAGUCACAUGAUUUUGGCCAGGGCUGGAGCCAGUGUAGCUAUAACAGGGGAAGCUCCAUACCUCUCACAAAUUUCAGGCUUACCCAGAGGAAAACAUCCUCCAAUUGGCUGCAUUUCCCACUUUUUUGCCUCCAGGGGAAGAGAGCAGCCAGUCAGGGCUGCUGCAGGAAGCAGGCCAAGCUCUCCACCUGUCCCCUCAAGAGCAGAGAGGACUUUUUGAGUAGUGGACAGCGAAGGGAAGUAGCUGACACCAUUCUUAGAAUAAGGGAAAGGGGAUCAAAAAAAGCUAAGUGGCUCAGGGUGAUCUUCCAGUUCCAUCCUCCUCACCCCACCGCUCUCCAUCCCUAUCACACCAAGUCUGGGAAGGGUGAAGGAGUGCAGAACCCCUGGAGCUGACUUCCUGCCCCAGGUCUGGAAAUUGAGAACAUCAGGAACUGCAAGAAAAGAGAUUAGACUGGAGGAACAGGCAGAUGUGGGUGCUUAGGGCUGGAAGCUCCACACCAUCAGGCAGCCACCAAGAGCUCCUGCAACAAGGGCCAUAUCACCCGUGAUGCCUGUUGACUAGGCAACAAGAAGCCUCAAAUUCUUGCAGCCAUGGAGCAAAAGCCAAUGAGAGGAGCAGAGGGAACAGCAAGACAAAGAGGUGGUGGCCAGACAGCCUGGAGUUUUCCUGGAGUUUUGUCAUCUUGCUCUGAGGGAUUCAGAUGUGGCCUUGAGGAAUCCCCACACACACUGGCCAAGCAUCUUCGCCAGCUAAGAAGUGCCCAAGGCGGAGCAAAGAUGACAUGUUCUGGGAGGUACUGCACUUCUCCAAUGCAGAGAAAAGGGAACGCAAGGAGUGAAGGGAAGCCAAAAGGCAGGACAGAAAAGAAAAUCAGGAGUUUGUU